GGACCAAUUUGUUGGUCGUGCCUCGGUACGUACUGGUAUUAUUGGUUUCUCCCUUCUGAAGAACCUUGAUGUCAUUAAUUUGGUGUCUUGGGGAAUCAGGACUGUUACUUUGAAAAAAUUAGAGUGUUUAAAGCAGGCAUACGCUUGAAUACAUUAGCAUGGAAUAAUGAAAUAGGACGUUUGAUUCUAUUUUGUUGGUUUCUAGGAUCGACGUAAUGAUUAAUAGGGAUAGUUGG
Molecule: ribosomal RNA, 236 nt
Filed under: uncultured Glomus
Lineage: Eukaryota; Fungi; Glomeromycota; Glomeromycetes; Glomerales; Glomeraceae
Description: partial 18S ribosomal RNA
Rfam family: Eukaryotic small subunit ribosomal RNA (bases 46-236)
Source: RNAcentral